RNAcentral lists this ribosomal RNA (787 nucleotides) under uncultured archaeon. RNAcentral's name for it is "bacterial SSU rRNA". It matches the Rfam family "Archaeal small subunit ribosomal RNA", at positions 85 to 876 of the family's 1478-position model. The record is from RNAcentral.
ACGGCUCAGUAACACGUGGUCAACAUACCCAGAGGACGUGGAUAACCUCGGGAAACUGAGGAUAAACCGCGAUAGACCAUAAUGUCUGGAAUGAUUUAUGGUUCAAAUCUAUAUGGCCUCUGGAUUGGACUGCGGCCGAUCAGGCUGUUGGUGAGGUAAUGGCCCACCAAACCUGAAACCGGUACGGGCUCUGAGAGGAGAAGCCCGGAGAUGGGCACUGAGACAAGGGCCCAGGCCCUAUGGGGCGCAGCAGGCGCGAAACCUUUGCAAUAGGCGAAAGCCUGACAAGGUUACUCUGAGUGAUCUCCGCUAAGGAAAUCUUUUGACACCUCUAAAAAUGGUGUAGAAUAAGGGGUGGGCAAGCCUGGUGUCAGCCGCCGCGGUAAUACCAGCACCCCGAGUGGUCGGGACGAUUAUUGGGCCUAAAGCAUCCGUAGCCGGUUCUUUAAGUCCUCCGUUAAAUCCACCUGCUUAACAGAUGGGCUGCGGAGGAUACUAUAGAGCUAGGAGGCGGGAGAGGCAAGCGGUACUCAGUGGGUAGGGGUAAAAUCCGUUGAUCCAUUGAAGACCACCAGUGGCGAAGGCGGCUUGCCAGAACGCGCUCGACGGUGAGGGAUGAAAGCUGGGGGAGCAAACCGGAUUAGAUACCCGGGUAGUCCCAGCUGUAAACGAUGCAGACUCGGUGAUGAACAGGCUUCGUGCCUGUUCAGUGCCGCAGGGAAGCCGUUAAGUCUGCCGCCUGGGGAGUACGGUCGCAAGACUGAAACUUAAGGAAUUGGCGGGGGAG